RNAcentral lists this transfer RNA (84 nucleotides) under Candidatus Woesearchaeota archaeon. RNAcentral's name for it is "tRNA-Ser". It matches the Rfam family "tRNA". Rfam says of the family: Transfer RNA (tRNA) molecules are approximately 80 nucleotides in length. Their secondary structure includes four short double-helical elements and three loops (D, anti-codon, and T loops). The record is from RNAcentral. Lineage: Archaea; Nanobdellati; Candidatus Woesearchaeota.
GCCGCUGUCGCAUAACCUGGUAUUGCGCAGGAUUGCUAAUCCUGUUUCCGAAAGGAUAUCCCGGUUCAAAUCCGGGCGGCGGCG